Molecule: ribosomal RNA, 450 nt
Filed under: uncultured bacterium
Lineage: Bacteria
Description: bacterial SSU rRNA
Rfam family: Bacterial small subunit ribosomal RNA
Source: RNAcentral
UGGGGAAUCUUGCGCAAUGGACGAAAGUCUGACGCAGCCACGCCGCGUGAGUGAAGAAGGCCUUCGGGUUGUAAAGCUCUGUCGCCCGGGACGAACAUUUUUGAGGUGAAUAGCCUCAGGAACUGACGGUACCGGGAGAGGAAGCACCGGCUAACUCUGUGCCAGCAGCCGCGGUAAUACAGAGGGUGCAAGCGUUGCUCGGAAUCAUUGGGCGUAAAGGGCAAGUAGGUGGUCUCAUUUGUCUCGUGUGAAAUCCUUGGGCUUAACCCAAGAAGUGCGCGAGAAACGGUGAGACUCGAGUUCUGGAGAGGUGAGUGGAAUUCCCGGUGUAGCGGUGAAAUGCGUAGAGAUCGGGAGGAACACCAGAGGCGAAGGCGGCUCACUGGACAGAUACUGACACUCAACUGCGAAAGCGUGGGGAGCAAACAGGAUUAGAUACCCCUGUAGUCC